AAGCAUUAAGAUGCAGGAAAGGAAAAGGCAGCAGAAGAUUGACACCUUUUUCAAAAGAUUUCUUGUCUGUUGCCAGAGACCUUAGUUGUUUCAGAGGGAACACAGGGAUUCACAGGUAUGAGCCCAGAGGUUCGUGGUUUCUUUGACCAAGAUGAAACAGUUGCUCGUCUCCUCCUAGCUGUGCCUGUGUCAUCAGCACAGUCAGAAAGGAGUUUCAGCAGACUCUGGAGGCUGAAAACAUGGCUACGCAGCACCAUGACCCAAACCCACCUUAACAGUGUUGCUGUGUGCCAUGUACAUAAAGAUGAGCUGGAUAGGGUGAACAGAAAAAUGAUUGCUAAUCAGUUUGUCGCAUGUAAGGAAAACAGAAAGAGCACUUUUGGUUUUUUUAAUUGAACUGAGUGAAAGUUCAAAUGUUCAUAUAUUUAACGUUAAAUGUUCAGGCCAGUUGGUUUUCAUGCUAUGUUGGCAAUAUCCAACAUUUUUGUGCAGUUGUA
Long non-coding RNA from Monopterus albus (swamp eel), 497 nucleotides. RefSeq lists it as uncharacterized. NCBI's taxonomy places the organism in Eukaryota, Metazoa, Chordata, Actinopteri, Synbranchiformes, Synbranchidae. The record is from RefSeq and is a predicted model, not a curated record. The transcript is spliced from 3 exons.